Molecule: ribosomal RNA, 206 nt
Filed under: uncultured bacterium
Lineage: Bacteria
Description: partial 16S ribosomal RNA
Rfam family: Bacterial small subunit ribosomal RNA
Source: RNAcentral
GGAUUGCAGGCUGCAACUCGCCUGCAUGAAGCCGGAAUUGCUAGUAAUCGCGGAUCAGAAUGCCGCGGUGAAUACGUUCCCGGGCCUUGUACACACCGCCCGUCACACCAUGAGAGCCGGGGGCACCCGAAGUCGGUAGUCUAACCUGCAAGGGGGACGCCGCCGAAGGUGAAACUGGUAAUUGGGUGAAGUCGUAACAAGGUACC